UCCGGUUGAUCCCGCCGGACCCCACUGCUAUCGGGAUAGGACUAAGACAUGCUAGUCGAGCGCCUCAGCCAAAAAGAGGCGCGGCAUACAGCUCAGUAACACGUGGCUAAUCUGCCCUUAGGACGAGAACAACCCCGGGAAACUGGGGCUAAUUCUCGAUAGGCGAAGAACUCUGGAAUGGGUCUUCACCCAAAAAGCUUUACGUUAUGCGCGUGAAGUCGCCUAAGGAUGAGGCCGCGACCGAUCAGGUUGUUGGUGAGGUAAUGGCUCACCAAGCCUUUUACCGGUGCGGGCCGUGAGAGCGGGAGCCCGGAGAUGGGCACUGAGACAAGGGCCCAGGCCCUACGGGGCGCAGCAGUCGCGAAAACUUUGCAAUACACGAAAGUGUGACAGGGCUAUCCCGAGUGCCAUCCGCUGAGGAAGGCUUUUACCCAGUCUAGAACGCUGGGGGAAUAAGGAGAGGGCAAGUCUGGUGUCAGCCGCCGCGGUAAUACCAGCUCUCCGAGUGGUGUGGAUGUUUAUUGGGCCUAAAGCAUCCGUAGCUGGCUAAGUUAGUCCCUUGUUAAAUCCACUGAAUUAAUCGUUGGAUUGCGGGGGAUACUGCUUGGCUAGGGGACGAGAGAGGCAGACGGUAUUCCCGGGGUAGGGGUGAAAUCCUAUAAUCCCGAGAAGACCACCAGUGGCGAAGGCUGUCUGCUAGAACGCGCCCGACGGUGAGGGAUGAAAGCUGGGGGAGCGAACCGGAUUAGAUACCCGGGUAGUCCCAGCUGUAAACGAUGCAGGCUAGUGUUUGGACGGCACGUGCCGUUCUAGUGCCGCAGGGAAGCUGUUAAGCCUGCCGCCUGGGAGUACGAUCGCAAGAAUGAACUUAAAG
Molecule: ribosomal RNA, 874 nt
Filed under: uncultured archaeon
Lineage: Archaea
Description: bacterial SSU rRNA
Rfam family: Archaeal small subunit ribosomal RNA
Source: RNAcentral